UGUCUUCAGGGCAGGGUGAAAUUCCCGACCGGCGGUCAUAGUCCGCGAGCGUGAGAACGCUGAUUCGGUGCGAUUCCGAAACCGACUGUACAGUCAGGAUGGAAGAAGAUA
Molecule: non-coding RNA, 111 nt
Filed under: bovine gut metagenome
Description: FMN riboswitch (RFN element)
Rfam family: FMN riboswitch aptamer (RFN element)
About the family: The RFN element is a highly conserved domain that is found frequently in the 5'-untranslated regions of prokaryotic mRNAs that encode for flavin mononucleotide (FMN) biosynthesis and transport proteins.
Source: RNAcentral